AACCGGAUUAGAUACCCUGGUUAGUCCACGCCGUAAACGAUGUCGACUUGGAGGUUGUUCCCUUGAGGAGUAGCUUCCGGAGCUAACGCGUUAAGUCGACCACCUGGGAGUACGGCCGCAAGGUUAAACUCAAAUGAAUUGACGGGGGGCCCGCACAAGCGGUGGAGCAUGUGGUUUAAUUCGAUGCAACGCGAAGAACCUUACCUACUCUGACAUCCAGCGAACUUUCCAGAGAUGGAUUGGUGCCUUCGGGAACGCUGAGACAGGUGCUGCAUGGCUGUCGUCAGCUCGUGUUGUGAAAUGUUGGGUUAAGUCCCGCAACGAGCGCAACCCUUAUCCUUUGUUGCCAGCGAUUCGGUCGGGAACUCAAAGGAGACUGCCGGUGAUAAACCGGAGGAAGGUGGGGAUGACGUCAAGUCAUCAUGGCCCUUACGAGUAGGGCUACACACGUGCUACAAUGGCGCAUACAAAGAGAAGCGACCUCGCGAGAGCAAGCGGACCUCACAAAGUGCGUCGUAGUCCGGAUCGGAGUCUGCAACUCGACUCCGUGAA
Molecule: ribosomal RNA, 552 nt
Filed under: uncultured Pantoea sp.
Lineage: Bacteria; Pseudomonadati; Pseudomonadota; Gammaproteobacteria; Enterobacterales; Erwiniaceae
Description: bacterial SSU rRNA
Rfam family: Bacterial small subunit ribosomal RNA
Source: RNAcentral